This 234-nucleotide ribosomal RNA is filed under the name uncultured bacterium. Its description in RNAcentral is "partial 16S ribosomal RNA". It matches the Rfam family "Bacterial small subunit ribosomal RNA", at positions 104 to 334 of the family's 1533-position model. The record is from RNAcentral.
CGGGCUGAGUAACACGUGGGUAACCUACCCUGAAGUGGGGAACAACCCGCCGAAAGGCGAGCUAAUACCGCAUACGAUCGCUGGUUUACGGACUGGUGAGGAAAGCCCGCAAGGGCGCUUUAGGAUGGGCCUGCGGCCGAUUAGCUAGUUGGUGGGGUAAAGGCCUACCAAGGCGACGAUCGGUAGCUGGUCUGAGAGGAUGAUCAGCCACACUGGGACUGAGACACGGCCCAG